This 326-nucleotide ribosomal RNA is filed under the name uncultured bacterium. Its description in RNAcentral is "bacterial SSU rRNA". It matches the Rfam family "Bacterial small subunit ribosomal RNA", at positions 30 to 352 of the family's 1533-position model. The record is from RNAcentral.
AUUGAACGCUGGCGGCAUGCCUUACACAUGCAAGUCGAACGGCAGCGCGGGGCAACCUGGCGGCGAGUGGCGAACGGGUGAGUAAUAUAUCGGAACGUACCCUGGAGUGGGGGAGUAACGUAGCGAAAGUUAACGCUAAUACCGCAUACGAUCUAAGGAUGAAAGUAGGGGAGUUCGCAAGAACCUCAUGCUCCUGGAGCGGCCGAUAUCUGAUUAGCUAGUUGGUGGGGUAAAGGCCUACCAAGGCAUCGAUCAGUAGCUGGUCUGAGAGGACGACCAGCCACACUGGAACUGAGACACGGUCCAGACUCCUACGGGGAGGCAGC